Molecule: ribosomal RNA, 253 nt
Filed under: Bacillus mycoides
Lineage: Bacteria; Bacillati; Bacillota; Bacilli; Caryophanales; Bacillaceae
Description: partial 16S ribosomal RNA
Rfam family: Bacterial small subunit ribosomal RNA
Source: RNAcentral
GUACGGAUUAUUGGGCGUAAGCGCGCGCAGGUGGUUUCUUAAGUCUGAUGUGAAAGCCCACGGCUCAACCGUGGAGGGUCAUUGGAAACUGGGAGACUUGAGUGCAGAAGAGGAAAGUGGAAUUCCAUGUGUAGCGGUGAAAUGCGUAGAGAUAUGGAGGAACACCAGUGGCGAAGGCGACUUUCUGGUCUGUAACUGACACUGAGGCGCGAAAGCGUGGGGAGCAAACAGGAUUAGAUACCCCGGUAGUCCA